AUGAUUUAUCAAGCAUAUCUCAACAAGAAAACUGACUCUAUGUGACCACUCUUGAUGAUCCAAAACGAUUUGUUAAAAUUCAUUACUCUGUUGCUGCUAUGGAGAUAAGGAAUGAUCUUGAACAACCACAUCAAGUUCAUGUAUAUCAUCAACAUAGGCAACCAGAUCUACCAAGGGGAACAACUAACCCAUGUUUAUCCACUACAUGUGCACAUCUAUGUGUCUUGGAUUGGAACAAGGAUACUGUGUCAGCCAAAUGUUUAUUUGAAGCAGGAUACACAAUUGUAUAGAUGACAAAGAAGCCUGUAUAUAUGACAAAGUUUGUAAAGGAAAAACUGAUCCAAGCUGUAUUGUUUUUCUGAGAAUUGUUUUGAGGAACAAGUACGUUGUCCAGGAGGGUGAUGUAUACCUAAGAGUUGGUGGUGUGAUGGACAGGCAGAUUGUGACGGGGAUGGAGAUCAGGCUUAUUGUGUGGGGAUUUUCAAGUUUUUGUGAUGAAGAUACUGAGUCCCAGUGUUUUAAAAAUGAUAAGUGUUUACCGAUUAUGUAUAGAUGUGAUGGGGAGGAAGAUAGUAAACAUGGAUCUGAUGAAAAAAACUGUAGAGAUUCUCCCAUUCCAGUGGGCUCAUGUAAUGAUGAAAAUGAAUUUAGAUGUUCUGAUGGGAUGUGUUUAACAGAAAAGUAUAAGUGUGAUGGAGACCAAGAUUGUGCUGUUGAAUCUGAUGAGCUAAACUGUCAUAAUGUGACCGUUUAGGGUCUUGAUCCUAUUGAAUGAAAGUGUGAAAAAGGCAACAAAUGUAUACCUAUAGCUUGGAAAUGUGAUACUGAGGUCAAAUGUCCCAACAGUUCUGACGAUAAACACUGUGAUGUUGAAUGUGAUUAUCCUAGCUACAGAUGUUCAGAAGAGUUCAACCCCCCAGUCUGUCUGAACCCAUUUCAACUGUGUGACAAUAAACCAGAUUGUAAAGACAAAAGUGAUGAAGAAAACCAUUGAAGUAAUGCUACCUUAUGUGAAUUUCUGGAUGUACAAACUGCUCCAAGACGCCAUGGGGAGAAAUGUGUGUGUGUGAACCAGGGCAAAUUUUGAGCUCAGACAAUAAGCUUGCAAAGAUAAACAAACGUUUGAAAUUGAGGAGCUGGUUGACUACAGACAAAUUGAGAAUACAGAAGAGUUCUUGGUUCAGUGGAAAGGUUUCCUGAAGACAAGAGAACCACUGAAUGAGAUGCCUGCGAUAUCUGUUAACAAAUUCUGGCAAAAAAAAUACUUAAGGUGGAACAAAACACUUCAACUGAAAUUAAUGUGGCUCAUUUAAAUUUCAUAAAAUUUUGACAAAAUAUUUACUUUUGGCCCUAGAACACAGUUAUUUCGUAGUGCAUUUCCUUUAGACAAUACAUUCAAAUUAAAAAAAUUGCACCUGCUCUUUCUCAAAAAGAUUUUUACAGUGUAGCGUACUACUAGUGAGACAAAUAAUAUCAAAAUUAUAGAAACUUCUACUCUAAAUCAAAAUAUUGACAAUUCUGUGUUAAGGGGGUGUAAAAUUCAGUUUGACAGCUUCAGACGUGAUAAAAUUUUACCUUUUUGAACUGGACUUUAUCACUACUUAACAUAAAGAUUUAGCACCCAAAUUUUUUUGACAUGUAAUUACAUCCCCCUACUUAAUAUUUCAUGCAUUUAAUAUCAAGAAAUAAAUUGGAAAAGUGUAUCAAAUAAAACAUGUAAGUUAUACACUGUUUACACUAGGGACUAUAUUCGUAGACAACGAAAACCAAGGGACGAUAACUGUGUCCUUGGACCUAAUAGGACAGAAAGACUUAACCAAUCUUUAUAAAACUUUGCAUAACCUAAGCUUUGGCAAUUAUGAGAUUGUUUGCCAAGUUUUUUGCCAUAUAGCAUAUAUAAGAGAAACUAGGGUCAUUUUAGUAUUGACAUUUGGAUGGGGUAUUUUUACGUAUAAAAUAAAUAUAUUCAACUGUCAAGAUUUUGGCCUAAAAAUUAGCUUUUUAAAUGCUCUUGUAUAUUAUAUAUUAAAAGCAUAUGAACACUCAUUUUAUUGAUCAGAUGUAUUGUAAUUAUUCCAAAGUCAAAUUUAUAUGAGCCUAUGCCUGAAAAUAGAGAUUUUCCAAUUCAGGGAAGCCUUAUAUAAAUAUUCAUUUUUCUCAGCCAAUUUGAAGUUUUUGAAGUUUUUUAAGCCUGAAUUAUUCUUUAAUAUAUAUUAAAUGUACUUUAAAUGUAUAGAAAGAUACAAAAAGCAUACCACAUGAAUAUUAAAUGGUCUUGGACCAUGUAGUACUGAGAAUUAUUUAGAGUCGAUUUAGGCGGUAUCCCAUAUUGACAUAUAAACAUGAACACUAAAGCUAUCAGAAAUGAAAAUGUGUAACUUUUUGCUCAUUUCUAUGCUAAAGUGUUAUGAUACAAGAAGUCUAAUUGCAAAAGGACUCUUGCAUUUAAAUUUUUAAAAGACAAUAUGGUCUGAUGGCCAGUUUUUUCACUUUACAAUGGAAAACUUGCUUUUAGUUUUAGUCUCAAUAGGCAUAAAUCUGGACCACUUACUAUAAUACAGAAAAAAAAUUAUGGUAGCCUAUAAAGGAGUAAGGUGUACUGAAUAUAGUAAAGUGCUUGUUUUACAGAUUUAGUGAAAUAUUUGUGAUGGACUACAGGUUUGAUGUACAAAGCUCUUCACAUUUUACAUACAUCAAUUAGGCCGUUUAACCAGGGCCAUGAAUACAAAGUAUUCUGCACUUUUUUUCUGUGAUAAUCUACUUUUCUCUAUAUUCAGAGUUCACAAAUGGUUAGUUAAAUUUGAUUUAAGCAUAGAAACACAAAUAUCAGGAACAUAAAAGCUGUCAGAUAGAAAGUCAGUAUGCCUCUUAGGCAUGAAAUGUAAACUGAUUUAAACUGCUUGUUAUAGCCGUAGAUACCAAAAUGGCACAUUUUAACAGAAUUUUUGUAAACCAAAGAUGUAAAUCCUUUACUUUGAUUGAGUUUGACAAAAUGAAACCAGCAAAUCAUUCAGGAAAGUUGCCAAAGUACAGAAUCUAGAUUUCAGGAAUCCAUCUCUUAGGCCGGGAACUCAGUUAUUUCGUAGUGCAAUCUCCUUUAAACAAUAAAUUCAAAUUAAAACAUCACACCUGCUCUUUCUCAAAAAGAUUUUUACGGUUUAGUGUACUACCAGUGAGACAAAUAAUAUCAAAACUACAUGUAUAGAAACUUCUACCAGCUCUAACUCAAAAUAUUGACAAUUCUGUGUUAAGGGGGUGUAAAAUUCAGUUUGACAGCUUCAGACGUGAUAAAAUUUGACCUUUUUGAACUGGACCAAAUCACUACUUAACAUAAAGAUUCAGCACCCAAUUUUUUUUGACACGUAAUUACAUCCCCCUACUUAAUAUUUCAUGCAUUUAAUAUCAAGAAAUAAAUUGAAAAAGUGUAUCAAAUAAAACAUGGAAGUUAUACACUUUUUACACUAGGGACUAUAUUCGUAGACAACUAAAACAAAAGGACAAUAACUGUGUCCUUGGACCUUUUACCCUUUGACAUAUGAUAUAUAUAUAUUUAUAUAUACAACUCGUCUAAACAUCAACCCAACAAUGUUAGAUCUGUAAAUUUGCUUUCGCAAAUUUUUGGUUCUUCCCUCGCCCGGAUUCGAACAACUUAACUACCCUUUGACGUAUAAUACAACUCUUCUAAACAUCAACCCAACAAUGUUAGACCUGUAAAUUUGGUUCUUCCCUCGCCGGGAGUCGAACCCAUGCUACUGCGAUAUCGUGACACCAAAUCGCCUGCACUGUAGACGUCCCGCUAGACCACACGACCACCUGGGCUUCAUAAAAAGGAAGCUUUCGCUGGCCAUGUGUUACCUUUCCACGUCAGUUUGAAUAUAUAUUUAAAUUUCAAAAAAAAUUGAACAACACACUCUCUCAGAAAAAUACUGUGCAUAUACAGCUGUAUGGUAAACACCAAUUUUGAUCAUUGAGAAGCUUAAUAUUAUCUUAACAAUAGAAUGUUAAUAAAAUGUUCUCCAGAUUUUUAAAGAGUUAUCUCCCUGAAGUGUUAUGUACCACCUUAACAAUUGUAUUUUAAACAUGAAAAAUACAUAUACAAAGUAUUGCACCAUUUUAUAUUUAAAACAAGGCAAAUGGAUACAAUUCUUAAUUGUGACAAUUGGGAAUUCUUUAAUUGUCAUGUCAUAAAUUGUGAUCAUCAGGAAGUAUUUUAAGCAUUCAGGGUCAAAACUAGUGUUGGCCAAAUCUGAGAAAUUUAUUGAUGGACAAUCAUCAAGGUCAAAUUUUUACAGAAACUGUUUUUUUUUUUUUAUUUAUGGUUUCUUAUUUUUCAAUAGAUAUUAAGAGAAGAUCAUGUGAACAUUUCUGCACCAAAAGUGCUUCUUUUAUUAAUAAAAAAAUCAGUAAGAGUUGCUUUGCCACAAUACAAUGUAACCAUGGAAAUUGGUACCCCACAAAAAAGUACUUUCACAGUUUAACAUGUCAAGAAUUAAAUUAAUAAAAUAUAUUCAUUUCUUAUUAAUGGAAAGUUAUAACUCAAUGCAGAUUUUUGCAGAUUGUACCAAACUAAACUUGAGUUUGAUUUUUAUUUUGAAAAAAGGUUAAUUAAAAUAUUUCAAGUUAGGUUUGAUGUUGUGAAUAAUAUAGAAAAAAAAUAUUAUAUCCCUUCAUCUGCUUAUUGUAAAGAUAUUUAUGUCAUCUGUCAUUUUAUGGGGGUAUUUUGCUGUUUUUAUUGGGAUAAUUAUUUCAAAACAAUGAAAGUCAGUUUUGUGUGUGAUUGUUUUUGUUAUAUGAAGAAUAUUUGAUGGGGUUUUACCUUGAUAACACCAAAAUUUACCUCUCGUUUGAUUUUUCUUAUAUUUACAUCAUUGAAAAGGUAGUGGUCCGUGCAUCAUGUGCAUAAGUGGCUGAAGUAAAUGAUUAAAAGAA
This is a long non-coding RNA of Mytilus trossulus (common blue mussel), 4929 nucleotides long. RefSeq lists it as uncharacterized. The record is from RefSeq and is a predicted model, not a curated record. The transcript is spliced from 10 exons. NCBI's taxonomy places the organism in Eukaryota, Metazoa, Mollusca, Bivalvia, Mytilida, Mytilidae.